GGCAACGCGCCGGGGUCAUCAACGGCGGACUGUAAAUCUGCCGGCUCAGCCUUCCCAGGUUCGAAUCCUGGCGCCGCCAC
RNAcentral lists this transfer RNA (80 nucleotides) under Streptomyces chartreusis. Its description in RNAcentral is "tRNA-Tyr". The record is from RNAcentral. Lineage: Bacteria; Bacillati; Actinomycetota; Actinomycetes; Kitasatosporales; Streptomycetaceae.